This 363-nucleotide unclassified non-coding RNA is filed under the name Hevea brasiliensis (rubber tree). The record is from RNAcentral. Lineage: Eukaryota; Viridiplantae; Streptophyta; Magnoliopsida; Malpighiales; Euphorbiaceae.
UUAGCAGCUGCAAUUACAUCAGCAGCUCUUCCGGUAACGGGACCUUCUUGAAGCACAUGAGUAUGAGCGACCACAGCAAUAAACCCAUCAAUAUGACAACCCAAAUCAAUCUUAACCAUAUCGCCCUCUUCCAACAGUGUCUCGUCACUGGAAAGCGGUGAGAAGUGACAUACAGUAUUGUUAACAGAAAUGCAAGUUGGAAAAGCAACGCCUCUUUCAAUCUUCUUCUUAACAUUCUUGUACAUAUUGCCAGUUUGUUCCCUAAUGAAGGAAUCCCCUUUCUCGCAAAUGUCAACAAUCUUUGCUUUUGGUUUGCAUUCCGAUAUCACCAACUGUAAUGCCUUGUUGACAAUCUCAGCGGCG